GGCUUCGAGGAGGCGGCGGUGGAGGAGCUGGAGUUGGCGUUGCCGGACUUCACCUUCUUCCUGGGCCGGUACUUGUAGUCGGGGUAGUCAGCCAUGUGCUUGAGGCGCAGCCGCUCCGCCUCCCGAAUGAAAGGGAUCUUGUCGCUGUCUUUGAGCAGCUUCCAGCGUUUGCCCAGCCGCUUGGAGAUCUCGGCGUUGUGCAUGUCGGGCGACUGUUCCAUGAUCUUGCGCCGCUCGAUCUGCGACCACACCAUGAAGGCGUUCAUGGGCCGCUUGAUGUGCCCACUUGGCGUCUUGCACCAGCUCGGGUCGUCGGCCUUGCCGCCCGUGGAGGCUGUGGAGCCGGGCGUGGGGGAGGAGGCGAUGCCCAGCUCCAGGCCGGCGCCCGAGUCCGAGCUCUCGCCGGCCAGCAGCGCUUCCGUGUUCUCGGCGUUGUUGGUUUGCUGCACCAUGGCCCCGGCUCCGCGGGCGCCCACGCGCGCUCACACCCUCGCGGCGGCCGCGGCGCGAUCGCCGGGCCCUCCCGGCUCCCGGAGCCAAGCGCACGCCGAGCGGGAGGACGCGUGCGGCUGCGGAGCUGGCCGCUCAACUCCCGGCCGGGGCGGAGGUGGGCGAAGAGCGAAAAGUCACCAAAGGAUGCGGGGUAGGAGUACUCCGCCUCUUGCAGAGGAGUUAUAGUUCCCAGGCUGGAGCGUCUCCCUCCCUCCCUCCCUCUCUCGCUCUUGCUCUUCUCUUUCUCACCGCGCCGCAGUUUGCUCUAUCUCGGCUCGGAGUCCUGGAGACCGUGCUAAAGUGAAGAGGAGUUUCUCGAAUGCUGGUUGCUGAAGCUUCCAGUGCAAGUUUCUCGCCGCCUCCCAGGCAAGUCUGGAUUUUUUUUUUUUUUUUUUUCUUCCCCUGAAGCAGUUGAUUCCAGUUCACGAGCGCUCUCGGGAGCUCAGGAAAGCGACAUAGUCUCUAUCAUUUAGUCCCUCUCCUGCAAUGCAAAGCAGAAAAGACUCUGGCUCCAGGACUCUCUGUGGGCGGAAUCGGCACUAAGGAGUUUGUGCAAUUAUUUUGUUGCAAGGUAGGAAGCCAAAAAGCCUUCAUGCAACAGACUGGCAUGAAUAAAUGUAUGUUUCCCCCUCCCUUCUGCAAGAAGGGAGCUGGUAAUGGCACAGUUCCUCCGAUGCAGACUCUUAAAGAGCGUGCAAGAACUAGAGACCCGGGAGCGAAACAGGCCUCUCCCCCUCACACACUGUUUCUCUUGCUGCAGCUUAGAGCAGACCCCAAUUCCGCCUCGCGCCUCUUUAUCCUUUCCCAGUCCUGGCCGCAGCCAAUCAGCCGCUGUAACCAACGCUUCCUCGUGCCAAGCCCCUCCCCCGGGCUUCCUAUUGGCUUGGAACCCGAUGCAAUAAUAAUCUCCGCGUGCAAUGAGAAGCUCCAAAUCUGACCUCAUUCCAAUUUACAGAGCAAACUUUUUAAAAGGGCUAGAAGUACAGCUGAGAUUUCUGCUGCCUCUUUUUUCCUUUUGCUGUGCCUGCGUGUGUGCGUUUGUGUGUGUGUCUGUGUAUGUGUGUGUGUGCAGCAUGUGGUGUUUGAAGAGGAUGUUAAUGCAUGAAAUUAUUAAGGGGAGAGACGGAAAUGUAUUCUAACCAUUAUGUUAGAUAACAAGGGGCUUAGAAGGGGGGAGGGUGAAAUACUGUAAAUGGAAGCUUUCUGCUUAAAAGCCAAGUGAUUAUUUUUAUUAGUUCUUUUCAGUAUUGGAAUAAAGAAUCAGCCUCUGGUGCAAAAUCUGUUCCUCGGCUCCUUCAUAAAGCCAAGGAUGUAGAAGGGGGAGGAAAACCACGACAAUAAAUCAAUGGAUAUUGAAAACCAUUAAGAAAGUGGUACCUGGACACCUGUCAUCACAGUUAUUUUAACAACUCGAGGUACAGCACAGAUGUUGAUGUACUGUGUAAAUCCCUUCAGAGCAAUUUGGGUGCUGUUUGUGAAGGCAGAGAAGAAGAAUUUUUGCAAUAAUUAUUUGCUUUCUUAACCAAACAGGGGUUAACUAUGGUUACUUAAUGAUUUAAAUUCGGCUAUAAAUCCUGGAUAGCCUAAACAGAGGAGCUUUCCACUGGAGCACAUUAGGCAGCAUUCUAUACUUAACUCAAGGGGAGAAUUUACAUAGAAUUUUGUGUAAGAUGAUAAAGGAUAGGAAUCGAUUUUACUUUCUAAGUAUUUGCUUUCCACAUUUUCAGAAUUAAAGAUUGCUCCACUCUGUCCUUCUCCCAGCCUAAACCCUCCUCCUUUCCUUUAUAUAUAUUUUCUCCUAUAUAUUAGCUGCUUCAAUCAAAUGGAACUGAAAGACCCAGACAAAGAGAAACUAGAAGGCAGUGGUAGCUGGUUGCAGAAGAAAAUGGAACCUCUGGAUUUACAUUAGAUUUGGUGAUUUAUAUUAGAUCUGGUCGCUAGUCCUUUUUACUGGUCUUGUAACCCUGGGGAUGUGACAAGUAUCAGUUUUCCUCAUCUGUGAUGUGGGAACAGUAGGAACUACUUUAUGUAGGGUGUUUGUGAAGGUUGAAUGAGCUUGAUGUACAGUAAGCCCUCAGUGAAUGCUGUUGUCCUUCCCUGGCUAAUUCACAUUGUGAAGACACUCCCUUUAGUAGAAGCAUGUUGUUCAAGAGACUAAAAUUGAGGAUGGCCACUGAUGUGAAAAAAUAAUCACAGAUCAUAAACAUGAACUAUCCAAGGACCACAUCAGCAAUCCUAUUGUCCUAAUGAUUUGAAAAGAAACUUCAUGAAGAGCCUUGUGAAGAACGCAGCAAAGAAAAUGUGCUUUCGUAGUCAGAAUACAUGCUAAUUUAGCCAUGAAAAUUACCUUUGGUCUAAGUAUCCUCAUGAGAACAAGAAGAAAACGGGUGUUUCCACUGGGCCACGGAGAUUUGAAGCAUAAAUACAAGCUUCUGUCUGCCCCAUUUCGCGAGGCAGGAGCAGGGCACACCCACUGGGAGCCUGGGUUUGCUCUGCCACCAGCCGGCUCCCAAUCCGGGGAGAAGCCGCCGCCAGGUGGCAGCGCUGAGCCUCCCUGCACUCGCAUGGAGACGUGGGAAAACGUGGAGACUGUCAGACUUCUUUCUUCUCCCCCUUCCACCUCUCCCGAACCCUUAUCAUCCCACACUCUUCCAACGUGUUUAGGUAGCAGUUUAAAUGAUCAGAGGUUAUAGAGUGUGUCGAUGAAUCUUGAUGAUUUUUUUUUAAAUCAUAAAUCGAGUUUGGGGCAACGAACAGUUUUGGCCUCCUGUUCACUUGUCAAAGCUCCCAGACACUGGAGACGCCAAGGCUAGCUCCGGUUUGGGUCUAGUAAGUGAACCGGGCAGUUAUCAAUUACCGUGUCCGUAUCUUGCUGAAGCUGCAAGUAGUUAGAAGUCUCUCUCCGAGAGCCGCUGCAAAGGAGGCGCGCUUUACUUAAGGACUGGCAACGGAUACCCCUCCUCCUGGAAAGAUGGUCUCAGCCAGACGCCUGACCGAGCGCAGCGACUCGGUGGCGCAGGCUCGGCGCUCUUCCUGCCCUGAGCUCGGAGAGGAUUCGGCGGGGAUUAAUGGUGCUCAGCCGCGUUCCGCCGCGCCGGCUGAGACUGGCCUUGCGAUUAUGGUUACAGGGAGGAAAUAAAUUGGAAUCGACUCA
Molecule: long non-coding RNA, 3646 nt
Filed under: Sus scrofa (pig)
Lineage: Eukaryota; Metazoa; Chordata; Mammalia; Artiodactyla; Suidae
Description: lncRNA (ENSSSCG00025015786.1)
Source: RNAcentral